ACGCCCGCCGCUCCCGGCAGCCUUUUCGGCCGGAGUCCGCCGGUCCGCUGCCUGGCCAGCGCUCCGCCUCACAGCCAGUCCCGGGGAGCUUCCGCGUGGGGCGCGGGCGUCGCGGGGAGCCCGGCGCCGGCGGAAGGGGUCGAUGGAGUGGCCUCGGCCCGGAGGGGGCGCCCCCGGGCUGGUGGCGGAGCUCGCCCGUCGCCCGCUGGAGGCCUCUGUGCCGGGGUCCCUGCGCUCCAUGUUGGCGCCCCAUCCCCUCUCACCCCUAAACUAAAGCACCUUCCCCGCCACAGGCCCCGUCCCCACCCCCGGCGUCUCCCCGUGGCCUCGGUUCCCUCGCUCAGCGCGCACUUGGACCCCCCCCAUCCUGCCCGCUCCAGCCCCGUCCGCUCGCAGCCCCAACGGGAGGCGGAGGCGGGGCGGCCUCGCGGGGCCGGGCCGGGCCUCCUUCCUGGGUUUGUUGCAGGCCCCGCGGCGGAGGCGGCGGAGGCGGGGGCCUGUGCUCGUCGCCGGGAAAGCCCGCGCGCAGCUCCGGGACUGUCGAACCCGCUGGCGGGUCUGCUCCGCCGGAAACGGCAGCGCAGAGGCGGGCAGAUGCCAAUCCCGCGGCCUCGUAACUGCAGAGCUCAAUAGAAACCCACCUGUUUAGAUUCUGGACACACAGAAUCAAGUGACAACAUGGUAGUGCGGCUACCCCCCGGGGGCGCAGAGCGGACAGGAGGCUGGUGAGCGGACGGAUGUCAUGCCUCGCGCAGCAGGUGCGUGGAAGUGGUGAGGACAUGCCACAGGCGUGCCUGGGAACAGAGGGGAGACCUCGGAGAGGCAGCUGCAUUCGUUUUCCAGGCUGCACACCAAACUGCCACCGGCUCGAUGCCUAAAACAGCACCUCCUUGUUAGCUCAUAGUUCUGUAGGUCAGCAUCCUGGCUGAAGUCAGGGUGUCAGCUGGGCUGAGUUCUCACCUGGAGGCCCUAGGAAAGAUCUGCUCCCAGCCUAUUUUUGUUGUUGGCAGAAUCCAGUUUCUGUGGUUGGGUUGAGAUGCCCAUUUUCUUGUGGGCAGUCAGCUGUUGACUUCGAGACCCACCAUCUCCAAAGCCGGCAACAGAUAA
This is a long non-coding RNA of Myotis myotis, 1107 nucleotides long. RefSeq lists it as uncharacterized. The transcript has 2 exons. The record is from RefSeq and is a predicted model, not a curated record. NCBI's taxonomy places the organism in Eukaryota, Metazoa, Chordata, Mammalia, Chiroptera, Vespertilionidae.